This 497-nucleotide ribosomal RNA is filed under the name uncultured bacterium. RNAcentral's name for it is "partial 16S ribosomal RNA". It matches the Rfam family "Bacterial small subunit ribosomal RNA", at positions 28 to 507 of the family's 1533-position model. The record is from RNAcentral.
GAUGAACGCUGGCGGCGUGCCUAAUACAUGCAAGUCGAGCGAACAGACGAGGAGCUUGCUCCUCUGACUUUAGCGGCGGACGGGUGAGUAACACGUGGAUAACCUACCUAUAAGACUGGGAUAACUUCGGGAAACCGGAGCUAAUACCGGAUAAUAUAUUGAACCGCAUGGUUCAAUAGUGAAAGACGGUUUUGCUGUCACUUAUAGAUGGAUCCGCGCCGCAUUAGCUAGUUGGUAAGGUAACGGCUUACCAAGGCAACGAUGCGUAGCCGACCUGAGAGGGGGAUCGGCCACACUGGAACUGAGACACGGUCCAGACUCCUACGGGAGGCAGCAGUAGGGAAUCUUCCGCAAUGGGCGAAAGCCUGACGGAGCAACGCAGCGUGAGUGAUGAAGGUCUUCGGAUCGUAAAACUCUGUUAUUAGGGAAGAACAAAUGUGUAAGUAACUAUGCACGUAUUGACGGUACCUAAUCAGAAAGCCACGGCUAACUACGUG